RNAcentral lists this ribosomal RNA (505 nucleotides) under Escherichia coli. RNAcentral's name for it is "partial 23S ribosomal RNA". It matches the Rfam family "Bacterial large subunit ribosomal RNA", at positions 755 to 1256 of the family's 2925-position model. The record is from RNAcentral. Lineage: Bacteria; Pseudomonadati; Pseudomonadota; Gammaproteobacteria; Enterobacterales; Enterobacteriaceae.
GGUAACACUAACUGGAGGACCGAACCGACUAAUGUUGAAAAAUUAGCGGAUGACUUGUGGCUGGGGGUGAAAGGCCAAUCAAACCGGGAGAUAGCUGGUUCUCCCCGAAAGCUAUUUAGGUAGCGCCUCGUGAAUUCAUCUCCGGGGGUAGAGCACUGUUUCGGCAAGGGGGUCAUCCCGACUUACCAACCCGAUGCAAACUGCGAAUACCGGAGAAUGUUAUCACGGGAGACACACGGCGGGUGCUAACGUCCGUCGUGAAGAGGGAAACAACCCAGACCGCCAGCUAAGGUCCCAAAGUCAUGGUUAAGUGGGAAACGAUGUGGGAAGGCCCAGACAGCCAGGAUGUUGGCUUAGAAGCAGCCAUCAUUUAAAGAAAGCGUAAUAGCUCACUGGUCGAGUCGGCCUGCGCGGAAGAUGUAACGGGGCUAAACCAUGCACCGAAGCUGCGGCAGCGACGCUGAUGCGUUGUUGGGUAGGGGAGCGUUCUGUAAGCCUGUGAAGG